UGAGGAAUAUUGGUCAAUGGGCGGGAGCCUGAACCAGCCAAGCCGCGUGAAGGAAGAAGGCGCCAGGCGUCGUAAACUUCUUUUUGUCGGGGAACAAAGGGCGCCACGCGUGGCGUUGUGAGUGUACCCGAAGAAAAAGCAUCGGCUAACUCCGUGCC
This 158-nucleotide ribosomal RNA is filed under the name uncultured bacterium. Its description in RNAcentral is "partial 16S ribosomal RNA". It matches the Rfam family "Bacterial small subunit ribosomal RNA", at positions 355 to 509 of the family's 1533-position model. The record is from RNAcentral.